Small nucleolar RNA from Sinocyclocheilus anshuiensis, 91 nucleotides. Lineage: Eukaryota; Metazoa; Chordata; Actinopteri; Cypriniformes; Cyprinidae. The record is from Ensembl.
CGCAGAUGAUGUCUUUUCUCACGAUGGUCUUCCUAGACUCCAAGAGAGCUCUGAGGAUACUGCCUUUGGCAAUGCUGACUGAUGCAGUUGA